Ovis aries (sheep) is the source of this 71-nucleotide transfer RNA. It matches the Rfam family "tRNA". Rfam says of the family: Transfer RNA (tRNA) molecules are approximately 80 nucleotides in length. Lineage: Eukaryota; Metazoa; Chordata; Mammalia; Artiodactyla; Bovidae. The record is from Rfam.
UCCCAGGUAGCUUAGUGGUAAAGAAUCUGCCUGAAAUGCAGGAGACACAGGUUCGAUCCCUGGGUCGGGAA